AGGCUGCCGAUGACUCCCUACAUGUAUGUUUUUGUUUUGUUUUGUUUUGAAUUCAUUCAUUCAUGUUUUGUUUUUUUAUCCAGCCACUUACAAUGUCAAACAUGAUACAGAAAAAUGAAACCACUGAAUUAAGGUAGGUGCAGCUAGAGACAUUAAAACUGCUGAUGGUGAGGAAUAAUACAAAAAAACAUGAGAGCAUCAGAGAAACCAGAAACAUAAUCAACAUAUUAAGAAAAAUGUUUUCAGGGAAAUGGUUUCUGUGCUUGAGACUCAACAUCAUUCCACAGGAGCAAGCUAAAUGAAACAGCAAGGAGAUGCACUGAAUCAAUCUGUGUCUGUUUGUGUGUGUGUGUGUGUGUGUGUGUGUGUGUGUGUGUGUGUGU
Molecule: long non-coding RNA, 383 nt
Organism: Etheostoma spectabile (orangethroat darter)
Lineage: Eukaryota; Metazoa; Chordata; Actinopteri; Perciformes; Percidae
Exons: 2
Source: RefSeq, a predicted model, not a curated record